UACGGAAUGUGCAACCGUUAUUCGGAAUCACUGGGCUUAAAGAGUCCGUAGGCGGCAUGUUAGGUGAGGUGUGAAAUCCCCCGGCUCAACCGAGGAAUUGCGCUUCAUACCGGCGUGCUAGAGGAAGAUAGAGGUGGGCGGAACUGAUGGUGGAGCGGUGAAAUGCGUUGAUAUCAUCAGGAACACCGGAGGCGAAGGCGGCCCACUGGGUCUUUUCUGACGCUGAGGGACGAAAGCUAGGGGAGCGAACGGG
Molecule: ribosomal RNA, 253 nt
Filed under: uncultured bacterium
Lineage: Bacteria
Description: partial 16S ribosomal RNA
Rfam family: Bacterial small subunit ribosomal RNA
Source: RNAcentral